RNAcentral lists this ribosomal RNA (253 nucleotides) under uncultured bacterium. RNAcentral's name for it is "partial 16S ribosomal RNA". It matches the Rfam family "Bacterial small subunit ribosomal RNA", at positions 524 to 776 of the family's 1533-position model. The record is from RNAcentral.
UACGUAGGAUGCAAGCGUUGUCCGGAUUUAUUGGGUUUAAAGGGUGCGAAGGCGGCCUAUUAAGUUAGUGGUGAAAACGUUCGGCUUAACGGAAUACCCGCCAUUGAUACUGAUAGACUUGAGUGCGACAGAGGGUGUUGGAAUGUGUGGUGUAGCGGUGAAAUGCUUAGAUAUCACGCAGAACACCAAUUGCGAAGGCAGAUGCCUAUGUCGUAACUGACGCUGAGGCACGAAAGCGUGGGGAGCAAACAGG